Molecule: ribosomal RNA, 303 nt
Filed under: uncultured Flectobacillus sp.
Lineage: Bacteria; Pseudomonadati; Bacteroidota; Cytophagia; Cytophagales; Flectobacillaceae
Description: bacterial SSU rRNA
Rfam family: Bacterial small subunit ribosomal RNA
Source: RNAcentral
GAUCGAGUUUGAUCCUGGCUCAGGAUGAACGCUAGCGGCAGGCCUAAUACAUGCAAGUCGAACGGUGAUAGCAAUAUCAUAGUGGCGCACGGGUGCGUAACACGUAUGCAACCUACCUAUUAUUGGGGAUAGCCUUUGGAAACGGAGAUUAAUACCGCAUAAUACGAUUGACUGGCAUCGGUUGAUUGUUAAAGCUUUGGCGAUAAUAGAUGGGCAUGCGUCAAUUAGUUAGUUGGUUAGGUAACGCUGACCAAGACGAUGAUUGGUAGGGGAUCUGAGAGGAUAAUCCCCCACACUGGCACU